Long non-coding RNA from Echinops telfairi (small Madagascar hedgehog), 633 nucleotides. RefSeq lists it as uncharacterized. Lineage: Eukaryota; Metazoa; Chordata; Mammalia; Afrosoricida; Tenrecidae. The transcript is spliced from 3 exons. The record is from RefSeq and is a predicted model, not a curated record.
AGAACAUGGCAAUCCAUUGCUAAGGACUAAAAUUGCACUUACCAGGAGAACUCCUCUGGACAUGCUAUCAGGAGGGACCACUCCCUGGAGAAGACCGCAUGCUGUGUGACGAAGGUGGUCCCUGAAACAGAAGAGGAAGGCCCACUAAGAGGAAGCUCAAUUCACUCGAAAACCCAGAUGACCAAAUGUAGCGGGAACUCCCGCACGCAGGAGAAGCUUGGUUGCAAUUUUCACACAUACGUCUCCGAGCCAGUUUCUACACCACCUCCUCCCUCGGCACUGGGUGUGCCCCCAGCCAAACCAGCGUGGAGGCAGCCGGUGGAGUUCAGGACCUGCUGUCAGGAGCGUCCAGUCCCUGGAGAAGGACACCCUGCUUGGUACAGUCACAGGGGGACCUUCGACGAGAUGGCUGACUCAGGGGCUGCAUGAAGGGGCUCCAGCCGGGAGGAUGGCCCAGGGCAGAGUCGUGUGCAUUGUGCUGUGCCUUCACUAUGAGUUCAAACCCACGGACCGCACCGAACAGCAAGGUGAAUCUGCUAACUGGAUGGCAGUGGGCUGGGAUUUAGAAUAUAUCAGAAUUUCAAACAUGGAUUCCAAUGUUUCUAAAUUAUUAAAACGUCUCUUUUUCUUGUG